RNAcentral lists this ribosomal RNA (253 nucleotides) under uncultured bacterium. RNAcentral's name for it is "partial 16S ribosomal RNA". It matches the Rfam family "Bacterial small subunit ribosomal RNA", at positions 524 to 776 of the family's 1533-position model. The record is from RNAcentral.
UACGAAGGGGGCUAGCGUUGUUCGGAAUCACUGGGCGUAAAGCGCGCGUAGGCGGACCGUUAAGUCGGAGGUGAAAUCCUGGAGCUCAACUCCAGAACUGCCUUCGAUACUGGCGGUCUCGAGUCCGGUAGAGGUGAGUGGAACUGCUAGUGUAGAGGUGAAAUUCGUAGAUAUUAGCAAGAACACCAGUGGCGAAGGCGGCUCACUGGACCGGUACUGACGCUGAGGUGCGAAAGCGUGGGGAGCAAACAGG